RNAcentral lists this ribosomal RNA (729 nucleotides) under uncultured Staphylococcus sp. RNAcentral's name for it is "bacterial SSU rRNA". It matches the Rfam family "Bacterial small subunit ribosomal RNA", at positions 49 to 760 of the family's 1533-position model. The record is from RNAcentral. Lineage: Bacteria; Bacillati; Bacillota; Bacilli; Caryophanales; Staphylococcaceae.
UAAUACAUGCAAGUCGAGCGAACGGACGAGAAGCUUGCUUCUCUGAUGUUAGCGGCGGGCGGGUGAGUAACACGUGGAUAACCUACCUAUAAGACUGGGAUAACUUCGGGAAACCGGAGCUAAUACCGGAUAAUAUUUUGAACCGCAUGGUUCAAAAGUGAAAGACGGUCUUGCUGUCACUUAUAGAUGGAUCCGCGCUGCAUUAGCUAGUUGGUAAGGUAACGGCUUACCAAGGCAACGAUGCAUAGCCGACCUGAGAGGGUGAUCGGCCACACUGGAACUGAGACACGGUCCAGACUCCUACGGGAGGCAGCAGUAGGGAAUCUUCCGCAAUGGGCGAAAGCCUGACGGAGCAACGCCGCGUGAGUGAUGAAGGUCUUCGGAUCGUAAAACUCUGUUAUUAGGGAAGAACAUAUGUGUAAGUAACUGUGCACAUCUUGACGGUACCUAAUCAGAAAGCCACGGCUAACUACGUGCCAGCAGCCGCGGUAAUACGUAGGUGGCAAGCGUUAUCCGGAAUUAUUGGGCGUAAAGCGCGCGUAGGCGGUUUUUUAAGUCUGAUGUGAGAGCCCACGGCUCAACCGUGGAGGGUCAUUGGAAACUGGAAAACUUGAGUGCAGAAGAGGAAAGUGGAAUUCCAUGUGUAGCGGUGAAAUGCGCAGAGAUAUGGAGGAACACCAGUGGCGAAGGCGACUUUCUGGUCUGUAACUGACGCUGAUGUGCGAAAGC